Meloidogyne enterolobii is the source of this 71-nucleotide non-coding RNA. Lineage: Eukaryota; Metazoa; Nematoda; Chromadorea; Rhabditida; Meloidogynidae. The record is from the annotation of a GenBank genome assembly.
GGCGGCGUGGUGUAAUGGCUAACACAUCAGUCCGGUGACUUAAGAUGCUGGUUCGCUCCCAGCCGCCUUUU